ACUUUAUAAAAAUAAGCUACAUGAGUUUGGAGUAGAGGGGUCAAAGACAAUAAGGAAUUUGUUAUCAUUUACAAGUAUAAUAUUUGCUUUUAAUUUUUCUAUGUUUAUUUGGAACAAUGUUUUGCUUGUUUUUCAGUAAUAUAUCUUAUUUUUAAUCUCUCUAUAUAUUUUUCAACAAUAAACUCAAAUAAUUAACAAAAUAAAAGGAAAACAAAAAGAAAAUAAUUUUUGUUAACUUUGAUAGGUAAUGAUAUUAUAAAAUUCGAUAAGGCAUAUGAUGAAAAUAAUGUACAAGAGUUUGUGAAAUUGUGUUCUUCUAACUGCGAGGUAAAGAUAAUAAAAAUAGGAAUAUACACACACAUACACAUGUUCAUAUACAUAAAUAUAUGUGUACCAAAUAUACUUUCCCGUUGCUUUUGUUAUACGCUUUUGUUACACGGUUUUGUUAUAUGCUGUUAUUACAGAUAUAUACAAAUGAUUGAUAUGUUAAUUUUUAUUUUGUUAAAUCAGAUUGAAAAGCUAGAAGAUAGAAUGCAUCCUUGGGCUGCCGACCCCAAAACAAUUGGAGCAUUAGCAGCAACUCAAUUAGCAAUAUUAGCUAGUAAAGAAAAUGAGCCACAUUAUAAAGAUGCAAUACGUGAAGCAAAUGGAAUACCUGUUUUUAUUAAUUUGUUAAAAUCACAUGAAUUGGAUAGAGUACACGCAGCUGUUGUUGCGUUAUCAUUUUUAUCAGUCGAUAACGUGAAAAAUUGUAUAUGUAUGUUUGAAAAUGGUAUCUUACCUUAUUUGAUUAGCGGAAUGAAAUCGGAUAUAAAUGGAAUGAAAGCCGCUUGUGCACAAACAUGUAGAAAUAUAUUUGUUUUGGGUGAGUAAAAAGAAGUGUGGACACAAUUUUGUAUGUAUGUAUGUAUGUAUGUAUAUGUGC
Molecule: long non-coding RNA, 925 nt
Filed under: Piliocolobus tephrosceles (Ugandan red Colobus)
Lineage: Eukaryota; Metazoa; Chordata; Mammalia; Primates; Cercopithecidae
Description: lncRNA (ENSPTEG00000006569.1)
Source: RNAcentral